This 337-nucleotide unclassified non-coding RNA is filed under the name Hevea brasiliensis (rubber tree). Lineage: Eukaryota; Viridiplantae; Streptophyta; Magnoliopsida; Malpighiales; Euphorbiaceae. The record is from RNAcentral.
UGCAAUUUUUUUUUUUUUCUAUUUCCAAGCUUUCCACUUCUCCAUUUUCCAAAUGAUUAGAAAACUAAAACGCGUUUUCACUUAUCCAAUUCUCCAUUUUAAAUUUCCCUUUCUAAGAUAUUUUAUUAUCUUUUUUUUUUAAAUUGAUACACUAGAUUUUUAUUGCUAGAGCAUUGAAAAUAAAUAAUGAUUAUUUGAAUUCCAUAUUAUCAUAAAAAUAAUGUUUAUUUAAACAUGAUUACAUAAUAAAAAAAGUCAACAAAUAUUAUGCAUUCAUUAUAUUAUAGUAUCAUGAAUAAAAGCAUCUAAAAAAUGUAGAACGAAGACAGAAUAUAUG